RNAcentral lists this ribosomal RNA (429 nucleotides) under Chloroflexota bacterium. RNAcentral describes it as "Chloroflexi bacterium partial 16S ribosomal RNA". It matches the Rfam family "Bacterial small subunit ribosomal RNA", at positions 355 to 776 of the family's 1533-position model. The record is from RNAcentral. Lineage: Bacteria; Bacillati; Chloroflexota.
UGGGGAAUAUUGCACAAUGGGCGCAAGCCUGAUGCAGCCAUGCCGCGUGUGUGAAGAAGGCCUUCGGGUUGUAAAGUACUUUCAGUCGGGAGGAAGGUGGUAAGGUUAAUAACCUUAUCAAUUGACGUUACCCGCAGAAGAAGCACCGGCUAACUCCGUGCCAGCAGCCGCGGUAAUACGGAGGGUGCAAGCGUUAAUCGGAAUUACUGGGCGUAAAGCGCACGCAGGCGGUUUGUUAAGUCAGAUGUGAAAUCCCCGGGCUCAACCUGGGAACUGCAUCUGAUACUGGCAAGCUUGAGUCUCGUAGAGGGGGGUAGAAUUCCAGGUGUAGCGGUGAAAUGCGUAGAGAUCUGGAGGAAUACCGGUGGCGAAGGCGGCCCCCUGGACGAAGACUGACGCUCAGGUGCGAAAGCGUGGGGAGCAAACAGG